UACGUAGGGUCCGAGCGUUGUCCGGAAUUAUUGGGCGUAAAGAGCUCGUAGGCGGUCUGUCGCGUCGGCUGUGAAAACUCAGGGCUCAACCCUGAGCCUGCAGUCGAUACGGGCAGACUAGAGUUCGGUAGGGGAGACUGGAAUUCCUGGUGUAGCGGUGAAAUGCGCAGAUAUCUGGAGGAACACCGGUGGCGAAGGCGGCAUCCUGGACCAAUAUUGACGCUGAGGAGCGAAAGCUAGGGGAGCAAACGGG
RNAcentral lists this ribosomal RNA (253 nucleotides) under uncultured bacterium. RNAcentral's name for it is "partial 16S ribosomal RNA". It matches the Rfam family "Bacterial small subunit ribosomal RNA", at positions 524 to 776 of the family's 1533-position model. The record is from RNAcentral.